AACGAACGCUGGCGGCAUGCCUAACACAUGCAAGUCGAACGAGACCUUCGGGUCUAGUGGCGCAUGGGUGCGUAACGCGUGGGAACCUGCCCUUAGGUUCGGAAUAACUCUCCGAAAGGGGUGCUAAUACCGGAUAAUGUCUUCGGACCAAAGAUUUAUCGCCUUUGGAUGGGCCCGCGUUGGAUUAGCUAGUUGGUAGGGUAAAAGCCUACCAAGGCGACGAUCCAUAGCUGGUCUGAGAGGAUGAUCAGCCACACUGGGACUGAGACACGGCCCAGACUCCUACGGGGGGCAGCGGUGGGGAAUAUUAGACCGUGUGCGAGAGGCUGAUCCAGCAAUGCCGCAUGAGUGAUGUAGGCCUUAGGGUUGUAAAGCUCUUUUACCCGGGAUGAUAAUGACAGUACCGGGAGAAUAAGCUCCGGCUAACUCC
RNAcentral lists this ribosomal RNA (430 nucleotides) under uncultured bacterium. RNAcentral's name for it is "partial 16S ribosomal RNA". It matches the Rfam family "Bacterial small subunit ribosomal RNA", at positions 29 to 504 of the family's 1533-position model. The record is from RNAcentral.